AGCGAACGCUGGCGGCAGGCUUAACACAUGCAAGUCGAGCGGGCAUAGCAAUAUGUCAGCGGCAGACGGGUGAGUAACGCGUGGGAACGUACCUUUUGGUUCGGGACAACUGAGGGAAACUUCAGCUAAUACCGGAUAAGCCCUUACGGGGAAAGAUUUAUCGCUGAAAGAUCGGCCCGCGUCUGAUUAGCUAGUUGGUGAGGUAAUGGCUCACCAAGGCGACGAUCAGUAGCUGGUCUGAGAGGAUGAUCAGCCACAUUGGGACUGAGACACGGCCCAAACUCCUACGGGAGGCAGCAGUGGGGAAUAUUGGACAAUGGGCGCAAGCCUGAUCCAGCCAUGCCGCGUGAGUGAUGAAGGCCCUAGGGUUGUAAAGCUCUUUUGUGCGGGAAGAUAAUGACGGUACCGCAAGAAUAAGCCCCGGCUAACUUCGUG
Molecule: ribosomal RNA, 435 nt
Filed under: uncultured bacterium
Lineage: Bacteria
Description: partial 16S ribosomal RNA
Rfam family: Bacterial small subunit ribosomal RNA
Source: RNAcentral